RNAcentral lists this ribosomal RNA (1305 nucleotides) under human gut metagenome. Its description in RNAcentral is "bacterial LSU rRNA". It matches the Rfam family "Bacterial large subunit ribosomal RNA", at positions 1398 to 2543 of the family's 2925-position model. The record is from RNAcentral.
GAGGCCGACAGGCGUAGUCGAUGGAUAACGGGUUGAUAUUCCCGUACCGGCGAAGCACCGCCCAUGCUGACGCGCGGGUGCUAACCCACGCCCAGCCACCAAGUUCAGCCGCGCCUGUCAGGUUCGCCUGACGGUGUGGUUGUGGUGGUGGGGUCUGGGGAUCCUCCGUGCAGGUAGGCAAGCGUGUUAACAGGGGUGACGCACAGUGGUAGCCCGGCGGACCUGAUGGCUUGGUCCGUUCAAGCGCGCAGCCCGUCCUCCAGGUAAAUCCGGGGGGCAGCCCAUUUGGUUGGGUAGGGGUGAGGCGUGAUGGUGACCCCACGCUGGUGGGGGAUAACAGGGUGAUCCUGGGGUGCCGAGAAAAGCCUCGACGCGAUGGUGCCAGCCGCCCGUACCCUAAACCGACACAGGUGGUCGGGCAGAGUAUGCCUAGGCGCACGAGAUAAUCAUGGUGAAGGAACUCGGCAAAAUGCCCCCGUAACUUCGGGAGAAGGGGGGCCCAAGCCUUGAAGCUCCUUGCGGGCUAGGGGUGAGGGUCGCAGAGACCAGGGAGAAGCGACUGUUUACUAAAAACACAGGUCCGUGCGAAGCCGUAAGGCGAUGUAUACGGACUGACGCCUGCCCGGUGCUGGAAGGUUAAGAGGAACCAUCAACCUUCGGGUGAAGUGGUGAAUUUAAGCCCCAGUAAACGGCGGUGGUAACUAUAACCAUCCUAAGGUAGCGAAAUUCCUUGUCGGGUAAGUUCCGACCUGCACGAAUGGCGUAACGACUUCCCCGCUGUCUCAACCAUGAGCUCGGCGAAAUUGCAGUACGAGUAAAGAUGCUCGUUUCGCGCAGAAGGACGGAAAGACCCCGGGACCUUUACUACAGCUUGGUAUUGGCGCCCGCUAUAGCUUGUGCAGGAUAGGUGGGAGACUGUGAAGCCGUUACGCCAGUGGCGGUGGAGUCGUCCUUGAAAUACCACUCUGGUUAUGGCGUGCGCCUGAACCUGGGCCCGUGAUCCGGGUUAGGGACAGUGCCUGGUGGGUAGUUUAACUGGGGCGGUUGCCUCCUAAAGUGUAACGGAGGCGCUCAAAGGUUCCCUCAGCCUGGUCGGCAACCAGGUGUUGAGUGCAAGUGCACAAGGGAGCUUGACUGUGAGACCGACGGGUCGAGCAGGUACGAAAGUAGGAACUAGUGAUCCGGCGAUCCCGUGUGGGUGGGUCGUCGCUCAACGGAUAAAAGGUACCCCGGGGAUAACAGGCUGAUCCUGCCCAAGAGUCCAUAUCGACGGCAUGGUUUGGCACCUCGAUGUCGGCUCGUCGC